AGCUGCUUGGCUUGAGCUAUUUGUUCAAAUCGGAAUUAUUCCUAUGAUAAAUUAUUUAUUUUGCCCAAUUUCGUGGACUACUGGACGUAACAUUAUCAGUGUUUAUGGCCACUGACUUGUUAAUGAAUAAUGUUUGGUUUGCUCUGGGUCAGGACGCGCUCGACAAUCAUAAACUCGCCGCACCACAACUGGCACACGGGCUGAGAAGAGGAGGAGGAGGAGGAGGAGAAGAAGAAGAAGGUCAUGGUCAUGGACAAGUCCUCUACAACAUGAGGAAUACAAUCAGUGGCAGCUCUUCAUUUCACGACUACAAUCUGCAUGUAAGAAAGUCUACACCAAGUCCUCCCAUUUAAAGGCCCAUUUGCGGACUCCUACGGGAGAGAAGCCAUACCAUUGCUCCUGGGAGGGGUGCGAGUGGUGCUUCGCUCGUUCCGACGAGCUGACUCGCCACUUCAGGAAACACACAGGGGCCAAGCCCUUCCAGUGUGGUGUGUGUAACCGCUAUUUCUCCCGGUCUGACCACCUGGCUCUACACACAAAGAGGCACCAGAGAUAGGGAAACCUUCAUAAAUCUUAUUUUUUUAUUAGAUCGGAGUCAAAUGAAACAUUAUAUUUAAGUAAAUCUCAAAACAUUUCACAAUACAAUUGUGACUGCAACAUGGGUGUAGAUUUUCCAUGUAUUUAUUUUAGUAAAUACUACCAUGGUUAAAUGUUUUUAAUAAGAGCUCAAAGGUGGAUUGAGUCAAGCUAUAAUGACAAACAAGCUACUUUUAGUAUCUCUAUGGUUUAUCUACAGCAGUGUUUCCCAAACCUCUGCUCAAGUACCCCCAGCCAUUCCACGUAUUUGAUCUAUUCCGGUACUAGCACAUCUGAUUCAACGAAUCAUGUUUGAUGAUGAGUUGACCAGUUGAAUCAGGUGUGCUAGAACUGGAAUAGAUCGAAAAAGUGUAACAUUUGGGGUACUCAAUGAGAGGUUUAGAAAAUGUAAACCCUGAUCUACUGUAUCAUCGCUUCCUUUUCUACUGAGUAUUGGCACUAAAAGACAAUAUUUGACAAUGUAUUGCUAUUGACCUUUAAGUAUAACUACCUUUCAUUGCUGUAGACCAUGUACAAAGGGAAGUCAAAGUAUUUUUAAAUAUAUAUUGUUAAAAAAUAAUAUCACACAUUAUACUGAUUAUACUGAUUUUCUAAGUGCCUUUUAAAGCUAGACUCCUUAGUUGCUACAUCCAUUUUUGGACUCAUAAAUUAAUGACAUAUAACCAUUGAUUCUUGAGGUAUAUAACUUAUAAAUACCUCAUGAGCUUAGUUCAACUUGUUUUACUCAAUGUUUGUAAUCAGCAUAAAUGUGAAACACUGUAUAGUCUCCAAACAUGGUUAAAACUACACAUUUGAUGUCAUGAAUGGUCAGUCCUUACAUCCAUGUCUAUGCAUUUGAGGGGUUACAUUUCUCCAGCCCCAUCCCUUCGAUUUUUAGCAAAACAAACAGGAGUACGCUUUGUUAUUGUUUAAAUAAGGAUUCUACCUUUAAUGUUUAAUAAAUUAAUUAAAGAUGAAGUAAAAGACAGUCUGGUACACUGUAAAAAUAACUUGAUUACUGCCUUUCUUGUCAAUACAAAAAUGUAAGAUACUGUAUUUACUGUGUGUUGUAAAAUGUAUUUUUAUUCAUGAUAAUUUGAUUAAAUACAUUUAAUAAUAAGA
Salmo salar (Atlantic salmon) is the source of this 1698-nucleotide non-coding RNA. Lineage: Eukaryota; Metazoa; Chordata; Actinopteri; Salmoniformes; Salmonidae. The record is from RefSeq and is a predicted model, not a curated record.